AGUGAACGCUGGCGGCAGGCCUAACACAUGCAAGUCGAGCGGCAGCGCGGGGGCAACCCUGGCGGCGAGCGGCGGACGGGUGAGGAAUUCGUCGGAAUCUGCCUUUUUGUGGGGGAUAACGUAGGGAAACUUACGCUAAUACCGCAUACGUCCUACGGGAGAAAGUGGGGGACCGCAAGGCCUCACGCAGAAAGAUGAGCCGACGACCGAUUAGCUAGUUGGUGGGGUAAAGGCCCACCAAGGCGACGAUCGGUAGCUGGUCUGAGAGGAUGAUCAGCCACACUGGGGCUGAGACACGGCCCAGACUCCUACGGGAGGCAGCAGUGGGGAAUAUUGGACAAUGGGCGCAAGCCUGAUCCAGCCAUGCCGCGUGUGUGAAGAAGGCCUUCGGGUUGUAAAGCACUUUUGUCCGGAAAGAAAUCCCUGGAGCUAAUACCUUCGGGGGAUGACGGUACCGGAAGAAUAAGCACCGGCUAACUUCGUG
RNAcentral lists this ribosomal RNA (484 nucleotides) under uncultured bacterium. Its description in RNAcentral is "partial 16S ribosomal RNA". It matches the Rfam family "Bacterial small subunit ribosomal RNA", at positions 29 to 507 of the family's 1533-position model. The record is from RNAcentral.